RNAcentral lists this ribosomal RNA (253 nucleotides) under uncultured bacterium. Its description in RNAcentral is "partial 16S ribosomal RNA". It matches the Rfam family "Bacterial small subunit ribosomal RNA", at positions 524 to 776 of the family's 1533-position model. The record is from RNAcentral.
UACACGGGCCCCAAGCGUUAAUCGGAAUCACUGGGCUUAAAGGGUGCUUAGGCGGUCCCGCAAGUGCUUUGCGAAAUCCCAUCGCUCAACGAUGGAAUGGCUCGGCAUACUGCGGGACUUGAGGUCGGUAGAGGUCGUCGGAACAGUAGGUGGAGCGGUGAAAUGCGUAGAUAUCUACUGGAACGCCAAAGGUGAAGAUAGGCGACUGGGCCGAUUCUGACGCUGAGGCACGAAAGCGUGGGGAGCGAACGGG